Long non-coding RNA from Stylophora pistillata, 687 nucleotides. RefSeq lists it as uncharacterized. NCBI's taxonomy places the organism in Eukaryota, Metazoa, Cnidaria, Anthozoa, Scleractinia, Pocilloporidae. The record is from RefSeq and is a predicted model, not a curated record.
GUCUAGGUAUCAAGUAUAAGUUCUAAACGCAGCCAGGAACAUUGAAGAGCUGUUUGUGUUUGAUCAUGAGGACCGCACAUGGGCUGACAGCUAAAGGAGAAGUUGUUUAGCUCUACAAAUAAGAUGAAUUACUAUGAAGGAAAAAUUCGACGGUGGAGUAACAGUGAAUGGGCAGAAAACGGAAGCAAAGAAUUACUCCAUCAAGUUCCCCCAUAAACUCUUUUUGAUGAGGAUUACAAGUAAUCGAGAGAUAUAGAAAAAUCGAAUUGAAGAAAGCCUAACCAUUCAAAUGGAAACUAACCUCAGAGGUAGCAACUUAUAGCCAAGCGUGAACAAAGCGUCAAAAUAACAAAGCUCUCAAACUUAGACUCGAUAGGAUGUAUUUGUCAACAAGCGUUUCGUAAUUUGUUUGUUUUUCCUGCCAGAAGUGUUUCGAGUUUUAAAAGCUGAUUUUGUCAAUUAUUAGCAAACAAUCUGUCGAAAAAAACAUUUUUUUUUAAAUUUUUUCUCAUCAAAGUUGGAUCAAGUCGUUCAGAGCCACAAUUUGACUGAUCGUUAGGGAAUUACUUGUAGUUGACUAGACUUAGAUGCUGUUUACGCAUUUAUUUCGUAAAUCUGCUUUUUUCUUGCCAGAAUUAUCUCUAGUGAUCCGACUUAGUUAAAAAAAAUAUUUACCAGUUUAGCUUA